Molecule: long non-coding RNA, 402 nt
Filed under: Mytilus galloprovincialis (Mediterranean mussel)
Lineage: Eukaryota; Metazoa; Mollusca; Bivalvia; Mytilida; Mytilidae
Source: RNAcentral
GCUUCAUCAAUGAAGAUGCUAAACAUUAUUUAUUAUAUUGUAACAAUUUUUCAUCACAAAGGCUUUUAAUGAUAAAUGAAAUCAAUGUUUUUGCUGUCAAUAUUACAAUUGAGUUAUUGCUCUCUGGUGAUGAGUCUUUGAGUUCUGAAGAAAAUGAUAGUGUUUUUCUAUCUGUACAAAAGUAUAUAAAAAGUACCAAGCGUUUUUCUCAACUUUGACAACCUUAUUCUGUAACAGAUCUUACUAGAACAUGAUCAAUGUAUGCUCUGGUAUUGGGUAGAUAAUCGAAUGAUCUUUAUGAUUGACUUUUGUAUUCUGAAACGUUUCAAUGGAUUUAAGUAAAAAAAACAAAAUUAAUACUUACAAUUACAUGUAGAUUUAUUCUGUUUUCCUGUUAAUCCG